GACGAACGCUGGCGGCGUGCUUAACACAUGCAAGUCGAACGGAAAGGCCCUGCUUUUGUGGGGUGCUCGAGUGGCAAAGGGGUGUGUAACACGUGAGUAACGUGCUCUACUUUUUGGGAUGACUUCAGGAAAGUGGGGCUAAUCCGAGAUAGGAGAUCCUGCUGGAUGGUGGGGGUUGGAUAGUUUGGGCGGGUGGGGAUGGACUCGCGGCUUGUCUGCUUGUUGGUGGGGGAGUGGCUUACCCAGGCAGUGGCGGGUAGCCGGCCUGAGAGGGUGACCGGCCACAGGGGGACUGAGACACGGCCCAGACCCCUACGGGAGGCAACAGGGGGGAAUAUUGCACAGGGGGCGGGAGUCUGAUGCAGCAGCGCCGCGGGCGAGAUGACGGCCUUCGGGGUGAAAACCGCUUUCGCCUAAGACGAAGCUGUAGUGACGGUAACGAGUAAAGAAGCACCGGCUAACUACGUG
RNAcentral lists this ribosomal RNA (468 nucleotides) under uncultured bacterium. RNAcentral's name for it is "partial 16S ribosomal RNA". It matches the Rfam family "Bacterial small subunit ribosomal RNA", at positions 28 to 507 of the family's 1533-position model. The record is from RNAcentral.